This 439-nucleotide ribosomal RNA is filed under the name uncultured bacterium. RNAcentral's name for it is "bacterial SSU rRNA". It matches the Rfam family "Bacterial small subunit ribosomal RNA", at positions 28 to 471 of the family's 1533-position model. The record is from RNAcentral.
GACGAACGCUGGCGGCGUGCUUAAUACAUGCAAGUCAACUUGCUUCAAGGUAGUAAUAUCUUGAGGAAGGUGGCGCACGGGUGAGUAACACGUAGGUAAUCUGCCUUUAGGUCUGACAUAAUUCCGCGAAAGCGGGACUAAUAUCAGAUGAUGCAGCGGCUCGACAUCGAGACAGUUGUUAAACCUUCGGGGCCUAAAGAUGAGCCUGCGCCUGAUUAGGAGUUGGCGGAGUAAAAGCCCACCAAGCCUACGAUCAGUAGCUGGUCUGAGAGGAUGAUCAGCCACACUGGAACUGAGACACGGUCCAGACUCCUACGGAGGCAGCAGUAAGGAAUAUUGCUCAAUGCCGAAAGGCUGAAGCAGCAACGCGCGUGGAGGAUGAAAUACUUUUGUAUGUAAACUCCUGUAAGAAGGGAAAAUAUACAGUUAUUCUGUUUUG